RNAcentral lists this unclassified non-coding RNA (2032 nucleotides) under Hevea brasiliensis (rubber tree). Lineage: Eukaryota; Viridiplantae; Streptophyta; Magnoliopsida; Malpighiales; Euphorbiaceae. The record is from RNAcentral.
GGGAGUUUCAUAGUGUUCUAAAUUGGUUAUCUACCACAAGACAAAAUGUUCGUAUUUUAAUCCUUCACUUAUUAAAUACAGACGAUGAAAAGCAGUAUUUCAAUUUAAAACCAAUAGUCAUUCACAUUUCAUUUAGCGGAGAAGAGGCAUUUUUCAUUUUCCUUCCCACAGGAGAAUGAGCUAAGUUCAUAGAAUGGAAUUCAGAAUUGAACCCAUUAAGACUUAUGAUUUAUCCUGUGAGAGUAGUCAUAUACAACGCUCGGUACCUUUAUCAUCUACUCCAAAUUAACUAGUCUUCUGGUGAGACACACUAUGUCACAAAUUUUCCUGCAGAUGAUAGAAUUCACUGAUUCACCGCUGAUUGGUAGCCCAUAAAAGUGCCAUUAAGUUGUCAAAAUUAAUAAACUCCAACCCUUGACGACCAAAAACAAGGGCUCCACUGAUCAGAUGGUUCAAGGUAGACUAUCCUAUUACUAAGAUUAUGGUCGGAUAAGUUGAUCUUUUUCCUAUUUUCGGCAACCAAAUAACAACAAAUGCGUGAGGUGAAGGGGAAAUCUAUGGAGACAGCUUAAGUAUUUUGGCCGCUCAAAUCUGCUCGGAGCCUGGGUGGGAUUGUUCGCAGCUCUUGCAUUCAACUUCAUAUAUAUAAUUGUACCUCCAACAUAUCCCCUUGUAUUAAUUAAAGAGGUCAAUAUUUGCGAUAUCUUGCCCAAAACCCUUUUUUCCCGGCAGAAUCCUUCUCUGACAGGGACUUACUCCAUUUGGACCCAAAUGAAAAGUGUCGUCUCAAGAACGGUUUGGCAGAGGAGCUUGCUGCAUUGGAACUAGUCUCCAUCUUUGGAGCUCCUUCCCAUAUGGCAUUUUUUUGGUAGUCAAAAUCAUCAGAAUCACUGUCAAGAUAACUAUCUAUAACACGGCUUCUUGAAAUUUUAUGGCUUCUAGACUUCAAUUCUGCUUCAGCUCUUAAAGCCUUUUUGGUCAUCUUUGAGACUUGCUUCUCUCCUCCCAUGCAUAUUGGGCAAGCUGGGUCAUACCUAUCAACUUCCAGUGUCAUGGUCUCCAAACACUCAGCAUGGUACACAUGACCACAUACCAGCACAGCAACAACCGAGAGUUCAUUGCUGGCAAGAAUUCUCUGGCUGCUCCAAGAAGAUCUCUCUGUCAAGAACUUCGAACAAGCCCCACAAGUUUGAAGAUCUAAGGAGGGAGAACAUGAAAACCUGCUACUGCAUCCACUCACUUUGCUCAAACCAUAGCCCAGGUGCUCACUGUCAAAAGACCACCUCUCCCUUUGUGAAGAAGCCACAAGCUCAGAAAAGGUUCGCAUGGACCAACCAUCAGAAGAACCACCAUGUGAUCCCAUUGCUAAGUCGUGGCUACAAGUGGAGAGCACAAAUGAUGACCUACCUUCAGAUAAGGAGUAAUUAUUAGGCGACUUCAAUCCCAUAAUUCGACUAUCAGAAAUCUGCCUUAAUAGCCGAUGCCCAGGUGAAUGCCUAGCCCGUCUUGAGGGGGUCGAGUUUGGAGGAAGUGGAUGACCACAGGUGGGCAAAGGAUCAGCAUUCGGUGUUGAAAAUGAUGAAUGUACAGAAAAUGAAAGCUUUGAGGCAGGUAGCUCUGCAAUAUCAGGAGAUUCUGCUGAGUUCUUCCCAUGUACAGGGUCAUUGCUUUCCAUUAAUAGGCCUGAACGUUGAGCAAUUGGAUUUGCUACCAUUCCUUCAUGUACUGGAGACUUUAUAGAGACGGGUGUUCCAAAACUCUCAUGCAGACUAACCUCAUCAGAAAGAUUACCCCUAUCAGAGCCUAAUGGCCCCUUCACCUCCACACUAACAUCUCUGCUGAAUCCAUGAGAAGUUUGAUAUGGUGAAUCAUCAAUUUCACCAGCCACACGCCUUCGAUUUUCCCAAUGGAAGCUCCAUGUUGGAGAGCAUCUGACAUUCCUAUGCAAAGUGUUACCUCCAGUUCUGUUGGGCAGGUCCUUUUCUCUUGCAGCAAUACAGCAAGCUGACCCCAUAGUCAGUCAAAUAGAACA